UACAGAGGGGGCAAGCGUUGUUCGGAAUUACUGGGCGUAAAGGGCGCGUAGGCGGCCGAUCAAGUCAGGCGUGAAAUUCCCGGGCUCAACCUGGGGGCUGCGCUUGAUACUGAUUGGCUUGAAUGCGGGAGAGGAUGGUGGAAUUCCCAGUGUAGAGGUGAAAUUCGUAGAUAUUGGGAAGAACACCGGUGGCGAAGGCGGCUAUCUGGCCCGUAAUUGACGCUGAGGCGCGAAAGCGUGGGGAGCAAACAGG
RNAcentral lists this ribosomal RNA (253 nucleotides) under uncultured bacterium. Its description in RNAcentral is "partial 16S ribosomal RNA". It matches the Rfam family "Bacterial small subunit ribosomal RNA", at positions 524 to 776 of the family's 1533-position model. The record is from RNAcentral.